Molecule: long non-coding RNA, 3460 nt
Organism: Bubalus bubalis (water buffalo)
Lineage: Eukaryota; Metazoa; Chordata; Mammalia; Artiodactyla; Bovidae
Exons: 3
Source: RefSeq, a predicted model, not a curated record
GGCAUGGCAACUCACUCCAUGUAUUCUUGCCUGGAGAAUCCCAGGGACAGAGGAGCCCCACGGGCGGGCUACAAAGAUUUGGAAACGACUGAAGUAACUUAGCAUGCAUACAUACUUAGGUAGAAGGAGUGUGUCUUUUAGUUUCUUCUCUCUGUUGCAUCUUUCUUUCUUUCUCUCUACCUGCAGCAUCCAUCCCUCAGCCUCUCAGGAGCUUAGUAUUUUUCAUGUCUCCCAGUUUCUAGUUAGGAAGAAAAGCAACCAUGGAGGACAACCCCUGAGGUGUCAUCCAUACUCACCGUGUCUCUGCCUGUCAUACAUCUGACUCCCUCAUCCACAGGGUGGCAAGCUGGGAGCCAUUAUUAGAUUAGAUGACUCACAGCCCAGCCAUAGUUGUUUGGAUCAGGAGAGAACAUUGAAUCAAACUGUCAAUCAGAUCCUGAUUCACUUGAAAACUUCAAGUUUGAUCCAAAACUCUCCCCAUCCUCUCAGCACACAUGAGGCUCGUGGCCCCAGCGACUUGUGUGUGAAUCUGUGUGUUUGUGCACGUGACUGAUGGAGGAGUGCACUGUUCUCUCACAGAAGCCCCACUUGUUCCACAGUGGACCCUUCUAGCACGUGGAGAGGAAGCAGAAGAGGGAGGUGUCUCCUGAGGUGAAGAGGUCUCCUCACUCCAGGUGGCACUCUUUAGGAAUUCAAGUCCAAACAGGCCUAGAAAGAAGCCUGUGAGAGGUCUGGUGACUCCAGGCCUGAAGUCUCCCCCCAUCAUUCCUCUGCACCCAGAGCCCCUCUGUUUCACCCCUCGAUGGUCCUUGACAAGCCUGCCACCUCCGAUCAUAUAUCUUCUGUGGUCCCAACUCUGGGGUCUAGGAGGAGGUGAGGGGGCUCAUGCUCUAUCAUGAGGGUCUGGGAAACUGCGAGUGUGUCCACUGCACCACCCCCAACCCCACUCCACCUUCUGAUCCCACCAUCAUAUCUUGGGCUUCCAUGCUUACUCCCCUAUUGGUAUCUGAGGUGGAUCAGCAAGACCAGUGCUCACCAGUCAUGCAAAGAGGGCCUGGGUUGUCAAACUUCUCUUUCUUUUUAGACACCCAUCAACUUGGAGUGGUUCUAUUGAGUUCCCUUCCCUCAACUUUGGAUAGGAGGCCAGUCCUGAGACCAGAGUCUCUCUUGUCAAACCUUGUCUUUUCUCCCCAGAGGAGAAGUCCUCCUCUUAGACCUUCUCAUGAUAGAACCUGGCAAACCAGCCUAGUCUCUCCAGCCCCUGGGAGGGCAGAGGUCUCUAGUUAGCAACUGGUCCUUCUUUAUUUCAGCUCCAAGCCUUUCAUAACUUUUCUCAAUACAGCACAGACUCUGCUAUGAUCCCUGUGUUAUUCUGCUAAUAUGAGUGGGAGGACUAGGUCUCAACCAGAAAUGCACACUGGACUUCCCUGGUGGUCCAAUGGUUAAGACUCCACUGCAUUUCCCUGCACUUCCACUGCAGGGCAUGUGGCUUCCAUUCCCUGAUCGGGGAACUAAGAUUCCAUAUGCCACACAGUGAGACAGACAGCAACAACAACAAAAAUCCCAAACAAAACACAACCACAACAAAAACUCAAACAAAACAAGACCAAAAAAUGCACACCAUCCUGCUACUAUAAAUGGAGUCUUGUUCCUACAUUUGUAACUUUUCCUGAUGACAUGCACUUGGUAAGAUUAUUGCCUAAAGAAGUAAGUGUGUCUCCCAAAGGAAUGACUCUUUCUGGGAUUCUUCAAACCCCACCAGCUUAGGGCCUUUUUAUGUUAGACUAGUCCUCCAGAGAAAGCGAGUGGUUUUGUGAUUUUCCUCUAGCUGAGUUCGCAGCUUCCUUGUAGGAAUAGACAAAGUGUGUAGUGGGGUUGCAAAGAAGGAAGGAAGUGAAGGUACAGGUCAGAAAGUGGUUAAAGCAAAGAUCCGUGAGGCUCAGAAGGUGGAGCACCGAGUGGCUCUGCACCCUGGCCACUCAUUGGAAUCAACGGGGAAAGCUUGGGCAAUAACUAUGGUUGUAUCCCUCCCCCAGAGCACCUGAUGCCACUGAUUAAGGCAGAUUAGUCUUCCUGAGCUGCAGCAACUCCCCAGGUGAUUCUAAUAUUUAGCUGAGGUUACAGAACACAACUGUAUGCAAGGAAAAGAAGUGGAGUGAGAUGGAUGCUGGUAGAUUGAAAAGAAAAUGAGAAUUCAAGAUCUUGAAGAUCCCAGAUGUAGAGGGCUUAACUGAGCCCUGGAUUCAGGGGGGAGGCUGCUCUUGUUACUGAAAACCCAAGUCCGUGUGCCCGACGCACAAUGGGGUCAAACAAUACCGAGACAUCAGAGUUUGGAACAAAGUUUUAUUACAGGGCCAUGCAAGGAGAUGGGUGGUUCAUCCCUUAAAAACCCAAACUCCCUGAAAGCUUUUAGCAAAGCACUUUUCUAGGAAAGGUGAGGGACGUGUUUGGGUAGUUGCUGCAAACUUCUUGGUGUCACACCCUUUGUUCUUGAGGUCAGGUAAUGCUACUCCUGUAAAUCUCUGUCAGACAAAUAUUAUUCUCUGUUCUGAAAAGAAACGGCAAGGUCCCGAGGACCUGUCAUCCUCCAAGGUCCAGGUCCUGACUGAGAGGAGGCAGAUCUCAGUUGGCAGCUCCCUUAAGCCCAGGUCCCCAGGCCCUACCCUGCUCUCAUCAACCAAAGGAGCCAGGCACCCAACCCAGCUGGCCCUCAGGCUCCUCAGGCCACCAAAACUGGUGUGUGUGGAGGGGGGUGGGCAGGUCCCACCGACUGUGACCCAGGCAGACAGCAGGGUCGCAGAGACAGGGAUGGGAAGAGGUUCACCACUGCCCCGAGGCCUGGACUCCACCAGUGGGCUGGAGCCCUGCAGGACACAGCCCCUAGCCUGUUCCCUGGGUCCCCCAGCUCACCUAUUGGCCCAAGGCCGGGGAACAGACCGGAGGGCCCCAGGCAGAAGGCCAGGAUCUGGCCCUUAGCUCACUCUCCACCUGACCACUGGUCACCACUACCCUGACCAUUGUGGGGAUUGGUGUGUGGGCCAUUAACGGCCCCGCAUUCGCAGCUGGCUGCUUGUGGGCGUGGCCCACGGCAGCACCAGCCAAUGGCUGAGCCGGACCGAUUGUCUGGUCACAGGUGUGCAGUCCUGAGCUGCAGCAAUGGCUGCCUUUCCGAGGGCUGUCCUUGCGGCGCUCUGGUACCAUUCAGAGAGCAAGACGUCAGGCCUGAAGGUGCUCAGCUGUGUCUGGCUCACAGAUGGUGCUCAACAAAUAUUUGAAGCAGCAUAUGUGCUUGGAGGCAAAAUGAAUAUGGGAAUCUAGGCCCCUGGGUUCUAGACUCAAAUUUGGAAGUAACAGCUUUGUUGAUGACGCACGUGCCUGAGACACAGUGUGGUGAUACUCACGGAUAUUUUCUCUGCAACAUAGUUCCCCCUGUUCUCCAGCUUGUCUUCACUGGCAUAGA